RNAcentral lists this ribosomal RNA (1245 nucleotides) under metagenome. RNAcentral's name for it is "bacterial LSU rRNA". It matches the Rfam family "Bacterial large subunit ribosomal RNA", at positions 1564 to 2817 of the family's 2925-position model. The record is from RNAcentral.
UGAGUACGAGAUGCUACGGCAUCGAAGCAGUCUAUGUCAUACUUCCAAGAAAAGCUUGCAAUGUCAUAAACAAAUAAUGCCUGUACCAUAACCGACACAGGUGGGUAGGUAGAGUAUACUAAGGGGCGCGAGAUAACUCUCUCUAAGGAACUCGGCAAAAUGACUCCGUAACUUCGGGAGAAGGAGUGCCUUAUUUUUAUAAGGUUGCAAUAACAAGAUCCAAGCAACUGUUUACCAAAAACACAGGUCUCCGCUAAGUCGUAAGACGAUGUAUGGGGGCUGACGCCUGCCCAGUGCCAGAAGGUUAAAGAAGUUGGUUAGCAUUAGCGAAGCUGAUAACUGAAGCCCUGGUGAACGGCGGCCGUAACGAUAACGGUCCUAAGGUAGCGAAAUUCCUUGUCGGGUAAGUUCCGACCCGCACGAAAGGCGUAAUGAUUUGGAUACUGUCUCGGAGAGGGGCUCGGUGAAAUAGACUUGUCUGUGAAGAUGCGGACUACCUGCACCUGGACAGAAAGACCCUAUGAAGCUUUACUGUAACUUGAGAUUGAAAUUGGACUUUAUCUGCGCAGUAUAGGUGGGAGACGUUGAAAAUAUUCUUGCGGGAAUAUUGGAGUCAUCAGUGAGAUACCACUCUUAUAAUGUUAGAUUUCUAACUUUGUAUCAUUAUCUGGUCAAAGAACAGUUUCAGGCGGGCAGUUUGACUGGGGCGGUCGCCUCCCAAACGGUAACGGAGGCGCACAAAGGUUUCCUCUGAACGUGUAGAAAUCGUAUCUAGAGUGUAAAGGCAUAAGGAAGCUUGACUGUGAGACCUACAAGUCGAGCAGGGACGAAAGUCGGUCUUAGUGAUCUGACGGUGCUGAGUGGAAAGGCCGACACUCAACGGAUAAAAGUUACUCUAGGAUAACAGGCUGAUCUCCCCCAAGAGUUCACAUCGACGGGGAGGUUUGGCACCUCGAUGUCGGCUCAUCGCAUCCUGGGGCGGUAGUACGUCCCAAGGGUUGGGCUGUUCGCCCAUGAAAGCGGUACGCGAGCUGGGUUCAGAACGUCGUGAGACAGUUCGGUCCAUAUCCGGUGUAGGCGUUAGAAUAUUGAGAGGAGCCUUCUUUAGUACGAGAGGACCGAGAAGGACAUACCUCUGGUGUACCAGUUAUCGUGCCAACGGUAAACGCUGGGUAGCCAUGUAUGGAGAGGAUAACCGCUGAAAGCAUCUAAGUGGGAAGCCCACCUCAAGAUAAGUAUUCUCAU